Molecule: ribosomal RNA, 253 nt
Filed under: uncultured bacterium
Lineage: Bacteria
Description: partial 16S ribosomal RNA
Rfam family: Bacterial small subunit ribosomal RNA
Source: RNAcentral
UACGUAGGGAGGAAGCGUUGUCCGGAAUCAUUGGGCGUAAAGCGCGCGUAGGUGGCUCUAUAAGUCCGUUGUGAAAGUCAAGGGCUCAACCUUUGAAAGCCGAUGGAUACUGUGGAGCUAGAGUACGGAAGAGGCGAGUGGAAUUCCUGGUGUAGCGGUGGAAUGCGCAGAUAUCAGGAGGAACACCAAUAGCGAAGGCAGCUCGCUGGGACGUUACUGACACUGAGGCGCGAAAGCGUGGGGAGCGAACAGG